AUUUGAAAGUUCACCUUUCAAACAAAGUGCUUUCAAAUAAGUUCCCAAAUGAACCCCGGUGAGUUAGUGCUUAUAUAAGCAUGGCUCAUAUUUUAAAUAUUUUAUAUAAGUAUAGGUCAUUCUUUCUUAAAUAUUUAUAUAACUAUAGGUACUGAAUUUCAGUGAAUGUUAUAUUAGAAUGGGUACGUUUUUUGAGGCCAAAAUGGCACACCCCUACCAAGAAAAUAUCGAAGUUACCCCCCGUGC
This 246-nucleotide long non-coding RNA is filed under the name Mytilus galloprovincialis (Mediterranean mussel). The record is from RNAcentral. Lineage: Eukaryota; Metazoa; Mollusca; Bivalvia; Mytilida; Mytilidae.